Molecule: long non-coding RNA, 588 nt
Filed under: Daucus carota (carrot)
Lineage: Eukaryota; Viridiplantae; Streptophyta; Magnoliopsida; Apiales; Apiaceae
Description: long non-coding RNA (DCAR_LNC005270)
Source: RNAcentral
GAACCGCUCAUUGAGGUUAGAAAGGCAGAAUUCACCUCCACCUCUUUUGGACAUGAUUACUCCUCCAACUCAGUCACCUUCCUCAAGUCCUCCAGAGGCACACACCACUGCACACGAUGUCUCUGGCUCGGAGACAAAAAAUUUACAGGAGAACAAAUUGAACCGCUCAUUGAGGUUAAAAAGGCAGAAUUCACCUCCACCUCUUUUGGACAUGAUUACUCCUCCAACUCAGUCACCUCCCUCAAGUCCUCCAGAGGCACACACCACUGCACACGUUGUCUCUGGCUCGGAGACAAAAAAUGUACAGGAGAACAAAUUGAACCGCACAGUGAGGUUAAAAAGGCAGAAUUCACCUCCACCUCUUUUGGAAAUGAUUACUCCUCCAACUCAGUCACCUCCCUCAAGUCCUCUAGAAGCACAUACCACUGCACACGUUGUCUCUGGCUCGGAGACAAAAAAGGUACGAGCGAACAAAUUGAACCGCACAGUGAGGUUAAAAAGGCAGAAUUCACCUCCGCCUCUAUUGGAAAUGAUUACUCCUCCAACUCAGUCACCUCCCUCAAGUCCUCCAGAGACACACACCACUGC